CCUACGGGAGGCAGCAGUGGGGAAUAUUGCACAAUGGAGGAAACUCUGAUGCAGCGACGCCGCGUGAGCGAAGAAGUAUUUCGGUAUGUAAAGCUCUAUCAGCAGGGAAGAUAAUGACGGUACCUGACUAAGAAGCUCCGGCUAAAUACGUGCCAGCCGCCGCGGUAAU
RNAcentral lists this ribosomal RNA (169 nucleotides) under uncultured bacterium. RNAcentral's name for it is "partial 16S ribosomal RNA". It matches the Rfam family "Bacterial small subunit ribosomal RNA", at positions 338 to 524 of the family's 1533-position model. The record is from RNAcentral.